This 238-nucleotide ribosomal RNA is filed under the name uncultured bacterium. Its description in RNAcentral is "partial 16S ribosomal RNA". It matches the Rfam family "Bacterial small subunit ribosomal RNA", at positions 796 to 1041 of the family's 1533-position model. RNAcentral also lists the same sequence under 1 other name. The record is from RNAcentral.
CACGCCGUAAACGAUGGAUACUAGCUGUUCGGAGCAAUCUGAGUGGCUAAGCGAAAGUGAUAAGUAUCCCACCUGGGGAGUACGUUCGCAAGAAUGAAACUCAAAGGAAUUGACGGGGGCCCGCACAAGCGGUGGAGCAUGUGGUUUAAUUCGAUGAUACGCGAGGAACCUUACCAAGGCUUAAAUGGGAAACGACAGGUUUGGAAACAGACUUUUCUUCGGACGUUUUUCAAGGUGC